This 73-nucleotide transfer RNA is filed under the name Apaloderma vittatum (bar-tailed trogon). It matches the Rfam family "tRNA". Rfam says of the family: Transfer RNA (tRNA) molecules are approximately 80 nucleotides in length. Their secondary structure includes four short double-helical elements and three loops (D, anti-codon, and T loops). Further hydrogen bonds mediate the characteristic L-shaped molecular structure. tRNAs have two regions of fundamental functional importance: the anti-codon, which is responsible for specific mRNA codon recognition, and the 3' end, to which the tRNAs corresponding amino acid is attached (by aminoacyl-tRNA synthetases). tRNAs cope with the degeneracy of the genetic code in two manners: having more than one tRNA (with a specific anti-codon) for a particular amino acid; and 'wobble' base-pairing, i.e. permitting non-standard base-pairing at the 3rd anti-codon position. The record is from Rfam by way of RNAcentral. Lineage: Eukaryota; Metazoa; Chordata; Aves; Trogoniformes; Trogonidae.
GGCUGGUUAGCUCAGUCAGUUGAGCAUGACACUAACAAUGCCAAGGUCGUGGGUUCGAUUCCCGUCCGAUCCC